GCCUAAUAAUGCAAGUUCGAGCGAACUGAUUAGAAGCUUGCUUCUAUGACGUUAGCGGCGGACGGGUGAGUAACACGUGGGCAACCUGCCUGUAAGACUGGGAUAACUUCGGGAAACCGAAGCUAAUACCGGAUAGGAUCUUCUCCUUCAUGGGAGAUGAUUGAAAGAUGGUUUCGGCUAUCACUUACAGAUGGGCCCGCGGUGCAUUAGCUAGUUGGUGAGGUAACGGCUCACCAAGGCAACGAUGCAUAGCCGACCUGAGAGGGUGAUCGGCCACACUGGGACUGAGACACGGCCCAGACUCCUACGGGAGGCAGCAGUAGGGAAUCUUCCGCAAUGGACGAAAGUCUGACGGAGCAACGCCGCGUGAGUGAUGAAGGCUUUCGGGUCGUAAAACUCUGUUGUUAGGGAAGAACAAGUACAAGAGUAACUGCUUGUACCUUGACGGUACCUAACCAGAAAGCCACGGCUAACUACGUGCCAGCAGCCGCGGUAAUACGUAGGUGGCAAGCGUUAUCCGGAAUUAUUGGGCGUAAAGCGCGCGCAGGCGGUUUCUUAAGUCUGAUGUGAAAGCCCACGGCUCAACCGUGGAGGGUCAUUGGAAGCUGGGGAACUUGAGUGCAGGU
This 626-nucleotide ribosomal RNA is filed under the name Priestia megaterium. RNAcentral's name for it is "bacterial SSU rRNA". It matches the Rfam family "Bacterial small subunit ribosomal RNA", at positions 46 to 653 of the family's 1533-position model. Lineage: Bacteria; Bacillati; Bacillota; Bacilli; Caryophanales; Bacillaceae. The record is from RNAcentral.